Molecule: ribosomal RNA, 253 nt
Filed under: uncultured bacterium
Lineage: Bacteria
Description: partial 16S ribosomal RNA
Rfam family: Bacterial small subunit ribosomal RNA
Source: RNAcentral
UACGUAGGGUGCAAGCUUUGUCCGGAAUUAUUGGGCGUAAAGAGCUCGUAGGCGGUCUGUCGCGUCUGCUGUGAAAACUCAGGGCUUAACCCUGAGCUUGCAGUGGGUACGGGCAGACUAGAGUGCGGUAGGGGAGACUGGAAUUCCUGGUGUAGCGGUGAAAUGCGCAGAUAUCAGGAGGAACACCGGUGGCGAAGGCGGGUCUCUGGGCAACAACUGACGCUGAGGAGCGAAAGCGUGGGGAGCGAACAGG